This 251-nucleotide non-coding RNA is filed under the name Loigolactobacillus bifermentans. Its description in RNAcentral is "Lactobacillus bifermentans T-box sequence". It matches the Rfam family "T-box leader". From Rfam's summary of the family: Uncharged tRNA acts as the effector for transcription antitermination of genes in the T-box leader family. T-boxes are found upstream of many aminoacyl-tRNA synthetase genes and some amino acid biosynthetic genes usually in Gram-positive bacteria. The anticodon of a specific tRNA base pairs to a specifier sequence within the T-box motif, and the NCCA acceptor tail of the tRNA base pairs to a conserved bulge in the T-box antiterminator hairpin. The record is from RNAcentral. Lineage: Bacteria; Bacillati; Bacillota; Bacilli; Lactobacillales; Lactobacillaceae.
UGAAACGCGUUGAUCGGAAAAGUAUUGACCGCCUUCAUUUAUCCAGCGACUUCCGUUUGGUGAGAGAGAAGAAAAUGAAACGGCCGAGAAAAUCAUCCGGGAGCGGUGAAUCGAACUUAAAGUAGAAUUCAUUGGUUGCAACCAUUAUCUUGCUAGCGUAUCGCGAUUUUGAAUCGCCGCACGUGAAGAGCUUUUAGCAGUGAUGCUAAAACAAAGUAAGGUGGUACCACGUUUAUUCAAACGUCCUUUGA